This is a long non-coding RNA of Pseudophryne corroboree (corroboree frog), 465 nucleotides long. RefSeq lists it as uncharacterized. Lineage: Eukaryota; Metazoa; Chordata; Amphibia; Anura; Myobatrachidae. The transcript is spliced from 2 exons. The record is from RefSeq and is a predicted model, not a curated record.
CCAUUAACAAAAAAGAAAGAAAGAAAUGAAAGAAAGCCUCUGGAUAGAGACUCAGAAUGGCGACCUUUGUUAUUGAGAGUGGGUCAGGUGCAGUUCUCUUAUUUUGCCAGAGAAAAAUCUCAAAAUGCCAACAUGAUCUUAAUCAUUUAAUUGAAAAUCAACAUACAAACACAGAUCUUUGAUCCAAAACAAUCUUCAAAUCAUAUCUUCAGUAAAAAAGAAACUUGUACAAAAGGUUUGUAGAUUUGUGUUUGCUGUUUAACUCUGGCUGCGGAAAAGACUCAAGCAUGAAACAUCAGGAGGAAUGUGAGCUUACUGCACAUAAUAAGACUGCAUUCAAAGUUGGAAUUUGCACUGAAAAUUGUUAUAGGAAAUGCUCAUACUAUUGCAAUUCAUCAUUCAAAAGGUUUCACGAUUUAUUGUAGCCCUGUAUUAAGCAAAAAUAAAAAUGGUCUAUUGAUUAUU